RNAcentral lists this ribosomal RNA (427 nucleotides) under uncultured archaeon. RNAcentral's name for it is "partial 16S ribosomal RNA". It matches the Rfam family "Archaeal small subunit ribosomal RNA", at positions 323 to 746 of the family's 1478-position model. The record is from RNAcentral.
CUACGGGGGGCAGCAGCUGCGAAUUUUUUACAAUGCACGAAAGUGUGAUAAAGCGAGCCAAAGUGCUUGGCAUUUAGCCAAGCUUUUCUUUAGCGUAAAAACCUAGAGGAAUAAGGACUGUGAAAGACCGGUGCCAGCCGCCGCGGUAAUACCGGCAGUUCAAGUCGCAUCCAACUUUAUUGGGUCUAAAACAUCCGUAGCUUGCUAUUUAAGUCUCUUGUGAAAUCUCACGUCCCAAGCGUGGCGAAGUGCAGGAGAUACUGAAUAGCUUUUGAGAUCGGUAGACGUAAGGAGUACGGCCAAGGUAAUGGUAAAAUAUGUUAAUCUUGGUUGGACUAACAAUUUAGCGAAGGCACCUUACGAGGACGAAUCUGACAGUGAGGGAUGAAGGCCAGGGGCGCAAAACGGAUUAGAUACCCUAGUAGUC